CUGUAAAAUAACGAUUCAGGGUGAUGAAUGAAUCCUCACUGCUAAUGUGAGAUGAAUUUUUGAGUGGGCAAAGGUUGCCCCUAAGGUGACCCGCUUACUUUGUGGGAUGUCUGGGAGUUGUGAUAUGCCCG
This 131-nucleotide small nuclear RNA is filed under the name Carlito syrichta (Philippine tarsier). RNAcentral describes it as "U12 minor spliceosomal RNA (ENSTSYG00000023637.2)". It matches the Rfam family "U12 minor spliceosomal RNA". Rfam says of the family: Although the U12 sequence is very divergent from that of U2, the two are functionally analogous. Lineage: Eukaryota; Metazoa; Chordata; Mammalia; Primates; Tarsiidae. The record is from Rfam by way of RNAcentral.